GCACAGUCAGAAGUGGGGUGUGUGCUGAGAGAGAGAGGAUGAUGAUGAACCCGGACCCCAGAUGAUGUGAACUUAAUCUGAAGAUGUUCCAGAAAAGGGUCACUCUUCAACUUAGAUUGAGAAACAAGGAAUAGAGCCACACAAAAUAAAGCUGCUACAGCCCAGUCCCAGCCAACAACUGCAGAACUGCAGAACAAGUCAUCUCUGCCACUGUUGUUUGUGGACUCCCUGGAGAAUUACUCCACUGCUAAUGAAGCCCCCAAGAGACUCACACCAUGCUUCCAGUGCUGGCUUUUUGUUAUCAAUAGCUCCUAUGCCUCUAUCCCAAUCUUGUAUGAAGAGAGGUAAAUCCAAGAAUCCCUGUGUUUUAUUUUUUAUAAUAGCUUUGUUGAGACAUAAUUAACACACUAUACAACUCAAAUAAAGUGUACAGUUCAGU
Long non-coding RNA from Gorilla gorilla gorilla (western lowland gorilla), 439 nucleotides. RefSeq lists it as uncharacterized. The record is from RefSeq and is a predicted model, not a curated record. Lineage: Eukaryota; Metazoa; Chordata; Mammalia; Primates; Hominidae. The transcript has 3 exons.